This 22-nucleotide microRNA is filed under the name Drosophila melanogaster (fruit fly). RNAcentral's name for it is "dme-miR-973-3p". Its record names the gene dme-miR-973-3p. The record is from miRBase by way of RNAcentral. Lineage: Eukaryota; Metazoa; Arthropoda; Insecta; Diptera; Drosophilidae.
UCUGUUCAUUCUCCGACACAAG